AAAGCUUCUUAGCUUCCCUGCCCUUCCGGCUUUUUCUUCCUUGUCAAUAUUGUUCAAUAAUGAGUUCAUUUGGAAUCCAACAGAAGGUGGUGGAUUUUGGAAAUUGAUGAAAUCAUUUAUCAAUUCCUAUGUUCCUUCUUGGGAUCAUAGUCUACCAGACUUGUUUCUAAUUAUCUAUCAUGAUGUGCCUACAGUUAUCAACAAUUGUCCGG
RNAcentral lists this unclassified non-coding RNA (212 nucleotides) under Hevea brasiliensis (rubber tree). Lineage: Eukaryota; Viridiplantae; Streptophyta; Magnoliopsida; Malpighiales; Euphorbiaceae. The record is from RNAcentral.